This 96-nucleotide ribosomal RNA is filed under the name Staphylococcus epidermidis. Its description in RNAcentral is "partial 16S ribosomal RNA". It matches the Rfam family "Bacterial small subunit ribosomal RNA", at positions 1 to 95 of the family's 1533-position model. Lineage: Bacteria; Bacillati; Bacillota; Bacilli; Caryophanales; Staphylococcaceae. The record is from RNAcentral.
UUUAUGGAGAGUUUGAUCCUGGCUCAGGAUGAACGCUGGCGGCGUGCCUAAUACAUGCAAGUCGAGCGAACAGACGAGGAGCUUGCUCCUCUAACG